RNAcentral lists this ribosomal RNA (253 nucleotides) under uncultured bacterium. Its description in RNAcentral is "partial 16S ribosomal RNA". It matches the Rfam family "Bacterial small subunit ribosomal RNA", at positions 524 to 776 of the family's 1533-position model. The record is from RNAcentral.
UACGUAGGGUGCAAGCGUUAAUCGGAAUUACUGGGCGUAAAGCGUGCGCAGGCGGUUUUGUAAGUCUGUCGUGAAAGCCCCGGGCUUAACCUGGGAAUUGCGAUGGAGACUGCAAGGCUUGAAUCUGGCAGAGGGGGGUAGAAUUCCACGUGUAGCAGUGAAAUGCGUAGAGAUGUGGAGGAACACCGAUGGCGAAGGCAGCCCCCUGGGUCAAGAUUGACGCUCAUGCACGGAAGCGUGGGGAGCAAACAGG